CGGGGUGAGUAAUGUCUGGGAAACUGCCUGAUGGAGGGGGAUAACUACUGGAAACGGUAGCUAAUACCGCAUAACGUCGCAAGACCAAAGUGGGGGACCUUUGGGCCUCAUGCCAUAAGAUGUGCCCAGAUGGGAUUAGCUAGUAGGUGGGGUAACGGCUCACCUAGGCGACGAUCCCUAGCUGGUCUGAGAGGAUGACCAGCCACACUGGAACUGAGACACGGUCCAG
RNAcentral lists this ribosomal RNA (229 nucleotides) under uncultured bacterium. RNAcentral describes it as "partial 16S ribosomal RNA". It matches the Rfam family "Bacterial small subunit ribosomal RNA", at positions 104 to 334 of the family's 1533-position model. The record is from RNAcentral.